RNAcentral lists this microRNA precursor (90 nucleotides) under Canis lupus familiaris (dog). Its description in RNAcentral is "mir-8799 microRNA precursor family". It matches the Rfam family "mir-8799 microRNA precursor family". Lineage: Eukaryota; Metazoa; Chordata; Mammalia; Carnivora; Canidae. RNAcentral also lists the same sequence under 1 other name. The record is from Rfam by way of RNAcentral.
GGGGGGAGGCCGGAUCCUGGGCUGUGUCCCCCGCGCCCUUUGCUCCUGGUCUGCGCUGUUUGAUUCGCGCUCCCAGCUGGGCAGCCCUCU